Molecule: ribosomal RNA, 253 nt
Filed under: uncultured bacterium
Lineage: Bacteria
Description: partial 16S ribosomal RNA
Rfam family: Bacterial small subunit ribosomal RNA
Source: RNAcentral
UACGGGGGGGGCAAGCGUUGUUCGGAAUUACUGGGCGUAAAGGGCUCGUAGGCGGCCAACUAAGUCAGACGUGAAAUCCCUCGGACUUAACCGGGGACUGCGUCUGAUACUGGAUGGCUUGAGGUUGGGAGAGGGAUGCGGAAUUCCAGGUGUAGCGGUGAAAUGCGUAGAUAUCUGGAGGAACACCGGUGGCGAAGGCGGCAUCCUGGACCAAUACUGACACUGAGGAGCGAAAGCCAGGGGAGCAAACGGG